GACGAACGCUGGCGGCGUGCUUAACACAUGCAAGUCGAGCGGAAAGGCCCUUCGGGGUACUCGAGCGGCGAACGGGUGAGUAACGCGUGAGUAACCUGCCCCAGACUUUGGGAUAACCCUCGGAAACGGGGGCUAAUACCGGAUACGACACAGCUUCGCAUGGGGUCUGUGUGGAAAGUUUUUCGGUUUGGGAUGGGCUCGCGGCCUAUCAGCUUGUUGGUGGGGUGAUGGCCUACCAAGGCGACGACGGGUAGCCGGCCUGAGAGGGCGACCGGCCACACUGGGACUGAGACACGGCCCAGACUCCUACGGGAGGCAGCAGUGGGGAAUAUUGCACAAGGGGCGGAAGCCUGAUGCAGCGACGCCGCGUGAGGGAUGACGGCCUUCGGGUUGUAAACCUCUUUCAGCAGGGACGAAGCGUAAGUGACGGUACCUGCAGAAGAAGCGCCGGCCAACUACGUGC
This 463-nucleotide ribosomal RNA is filed under the name uncultured bacterium. RNAcentral describes it as "partial 16S ribosomal RNA". It matches the Rfam family "Bacterial small subunit ribosomal RNA", at positions 28 to 508 of the family's 1533-position model. The record is from RNAcentral.